RNAcentral lists this long non-coding RNA (724 nucleotides) under Capsella grandiflora. RNAcentral describes it as "long non-coding RNA (CGRA_LNC000596)". The record is from RNAcentral. Lineage: Eukaryota; Viridiplantae; Streptophyta; Magnoliopsida; Brassicales; Brassicaceae.
CUUUCCUCUAUAAGAACCGACACUUCGACGGAAGAAGAAGAAAAAAACUCAAAUCACAAACCAAAAUCCAAAUCUCAAAUCACACACAGAAGAAGAAAGAAGCAACAAUGGCCGCCGAAGGAGAAGUUAUCGCUUGCCACAACGUCGAAGAGUGGAACGAGAAGCUUAAGACCGCCUCCGAUUCCAAGAAACUGGUACUUUCUUCUCUCUCUCGGAUUCGAUCCCAUGGUUUCUGAGAUUCAGGAUUUAGGGUUUGUUUGAUUUUGUGGCUUUUCGUUCUGAUGGAUUCAGAAUUAGCUUUGAAUUUGACAUGGAAUCGAGUUUAUGUGAGUUCCGUGAUGUGAAAUUGAUGAACCCUAAUUGUUUAGAAACGUAAGAUCUGCAGAGAUUUGAAACCCUAAGAAGUGAAUUUUGAAAUCGAGUUUGUCAACUAUGCAAACUUAGUUCACUGAUUUGAUUGAAGAUCUGGAAAUUUUCGAUUUUGUUGACUAAGUAUGAAAUGAAAUGUUCUGUGUUAGCUUUAUCUGAUGAACCUGUUUUUGUAUUAUUCUCCAUUGAUGUUUAGGUUCUUUGUUAUAUUCUAAGACUUGGUUUUGUGGGAUUGAUACAGAUUGUGAUUGACUUCACUGCUACAUGGUGCCCACCUUGCCGUUUCAUUGCACCAAUCUUUGCUGAGUUGGCCAAGAAGCACCUUGAUGUAGUGUUCUUCAAGGUCGAUGUUGAC